AUUGAACGCUGGCGGCAUGCUUUACACAUGCAAGUCGAACGGCAGCACGGGAGCUUGCUCCUGGUGGCGAGUGGCGAACGGGUGAGUAAUACAUCGGAACGUACCCUGAAGUGGGGGAUAACGUAGCGAAAGUUACGCUAAUACCGCAUAUUCUGUGAGCAGGAAAGAGGGGGAUCGCAAGACCUCUUGCUUUAGGAGCGGCCGAUGUCGGAUUAGCUAGUUGGUGAGGUAAAGGCUCACCAAGGCGACGAUCCGUAGCGGGUCUGAGAGGAUGAUCCGCCACACUGGGACUGAGACACGGCCCAGACUCCUACGGGAGGCAGCAGUGGGGAAUUUUGGACAAUGGGCGCAAGCCUGAUCCAGCCAUGCCGCGUGCGGGAAGAAGGCCUC
RNAcentral lists this ribosomal RNA (390 nucleotides) under uncultured bacterium. Its description in RNAcentral is "bacterial SSU rRNA". It matches the Rfam family "Bacterial small subunit ribosomal RNA", at positions 30 to 418 of the family's 1533-position model. The record is from RNAcentral.